This 497-nucleotide ribosomal RNA is filed under the name uncultured bacterium. RNAcentral's name for it is "partial 16S ribosomal RNA". It matches the Rfam family "Bacterial small subunit ribosomal RNA", at positions 28 to 507 of the family's 1533-position model. The record is from RNAcentral.
GAUGAACGCUGGCGGCGUGCCUAAUACAUGCAAGUCGAGCGAACAGACGAGGAGCUUGCUCCUCUGACGUUAGCGGCGGACGGGUGAGUAACACGUGGAUAACCUACCUAUAAGACUGGGAUAACUUCGGGAAACCGGAGCUAAUACCGGAUAAUAUAUUGAACCGCAUGGUUCAAUAGUGAAAGACGGUUUUGCUGUCACUUAUAGAUGGAUCCGCGCCGCAUUAGCUAGUUGGUAAGGUAACGGCUUACCAAGGCAACGAUGCGUGGCCGACCUGAGAGGGUGAUCGGCCACACGGGAACUGAGACACGGUCCAGACUCCUACGGGAGGCAGCAGUAGGGAAUCUUCCGCAAUGGGCGAAAGCCUGACGGAGCAACGCCGCGUGAGUGAUGAAGGUCUUCGGAUCGUAAAACUCUGUUAUUAGGGAAGAACAAAUGUGUAAGUAACUAUGCACGUCUUGACGGUACCUAAUCAGAAAGCCACGGCUAACUACGUG